Molecule: ribosomal RNA, 456 nt
Filed under: uncultured bacterium
Lineage: Bacteria
Description: bacterial SSU rRNA
Rfam family: Bacterial small subunit ribosomal RNA
Source: RNAcentral
GAUGAACGCUGGCGGCGUGCCUAACACAUGCAAGUCGAGCGAUUUACUUCGGUAAAGAGCGGCGGACGGGUGAGUAACGCGUGGGUAACCUGCCCUGUACACACGGAUAACAUACCGAAAGGUAUGCUAAUACGAGAUAAUAUGCUUUUAUCGCAUGGUAGAAGUAUCAAAGCUCCGGCGGUACAGGAUGGACCCGCGUCUGAUUAGCUAGUUGGUAAGGUAACGGCUUACCAAGGCGACGAUCAGUAGCCGACCUGAGAGGGUGAUCGGCCACAUUGGAACUGAGACACGGUCCAAACUCCUACGGGAGGCAGCAGUGGGGAAUAUUGCGCAAUGGAGGAAACUCUGACGCAGCGACGCCGCGUGAGCGAAGAAGGCCUUCGGGUCGUAAAGCUCUGUUCUUGGGGACGGAAUAAGGUGACGGUACCCAAGGAGAAAGCCCCGGCUAACUACGUG